RNAcentral lists this ribosomal RNA (465 nucleotides) under Vreelandella stevensii. RNAcentral's name for it is "partial 16S ribosomal RNA". It matches the Rfam family "Bacterial small subunit ribosomal RNA", at positions 338 to 795 of the family's 1533-position model. The record is from RNAcentral. Lineage: Bacteria; Pseudomonadati; Pseudomonadota; Gammaproteobacteria; Oceanospirillales; Halomonadaceae.
CCUACGGGUGGCAGCAGUGGGGAAUAUUGGACAAUGGGGGGAACCCUGAUCCAGCCAUGCCGCGUGUGUGAAGAAGGCCCUCGGGUUGUAAAGCACUUUCAGUGAGGAAGAACGCCUGGUGGUUAAUACCCAUCAGGAAAGACAUCACUCACAGAAGAAGCACCGGCUAACUCCGUGCCAGCAGCCGCGGUAAUACGGAGGGUGCGAGCGUUAAUCGGAAUUACUGGGCGUAAAGCGCGCGUAGGUGGCUUGAUAAGCCGGUUGUGAAAGCCCCGGGCUCAACCUGGGAACGGCAUCCGGAACUGUCAAGCUAGAGUGCAGGAGAGGUAGGUAGAAUUCCCGGUGUAGCGGUGAAAUGCGUAGAGAUCGGGAGGAAUACCAGUGGCGAAGGCGGCCUUCUGGACUGACACUGACACUGAGGUGCGAAAGCGUGGGUAGCAAACAGGAUUAGAUACCCUGGUAGUC